Molecule: ribosomal RNA, 551 nt
Filed under: Thamnaconus modestoides (modest filefish)
Lineage: Eukaryota; Metazoa; Chordata; Actinopteri; Tetraodontiformes; Monacanthidae
Description: partial 16S ribosomal RNA
Rfam family: Bacterial large subunit ribosomal RNA
Source: RNAcentral
CGUACCUUUUGCAUCAUGAUUUAGCCAGAAUCCUUUAAGCAAAGAGAACUUUAGUUUAAAACCCCGAAACUGAGUGAGCUACUCCAAGACAGCCUAAAAAUAGGGCGAACCCGUCUCUGUGGCAAAAGAGUGGGACGAGCUUCGAGUAGAGGUGACAGACCUAUCGAACUCAGUUAUAGCUGGUUGCCUGUGAAUUGGAUAGAAGUUCAGCGUCUCGGCUUCUCCCUUCACCCCAACAUGGUUUUUAACCAUACCCAAUGAUACAAGAGAAACCGCGGGAGUUAGUCAAAGGAGGAACAGCUCCUUUGAACAAAGACACAACUUUACCAGGAGGGUAAAGAUCAUAAUCUUCAAGGCAAAAUGUUUUAGUGGGCCUAAAAGCAGCCAUCCUAAUAGAAAGCGUUAAAGCUCAAACAUAUCUCACCCCCUCAUAUCCUGAUAACUCAAUCUAAACCCCCUAAUUCUACCAGGCCGCCCCAUGCAAUACAUGGGGGCGACUAUGCUAAUAUGAGUAAUAAGAGGGCCUAAAAAGCUCUCUCCCUGCACACGCG